AUACGGAGGGUGCAAGCGUUACUCGGAAUUACUGGGCGUAAAGCGCACGUAGGCGGACUGGAAAGUUGGGGGUGAAAUCCCGGGGCUCAACCCCGGAACUGCCUCCAAAACUUCCAAUCUCGAGAUCGAGAGAGGUGAGUGGAAUUCCAAGUGUAGAGGUGAAAUUCGUAGAUAUUUGGAGGAACACCAGUGGCGAAGGCGGCUCACUGGCUCGAUACUGACGCUGAGGUGCGAAAGCGUGGGGAGCAAACAGGAUUAGAAACCCCAGUAGUCC
This 274-nucleotide ribosomal RNA is filed under the name uncultured bacterium. Its description in RNAcentral is "partial 16S ribosomal RNA". It matches the Rfam family "Bacterial small subunit ribosomal RNA", at positions 523 to 796 of the family's 1533-position model. The record is from RNAcentral.